AUGGCCCGCACUCCUCUCCUCCUCCUCCAUUUCCUCCUCGCUCUCUGCACAGGUAUCGUCAAUUCGUCUGCGCUGACUCAGCCGCCCUCCGUAUCUGUGGCUCCGGGAAAAACAGCCACACUCACCUGCUCCGGUUUUGACUCUAGCAAUUAUGUGCACUGGUACCAGCAGAAAGGUGGCCGCGCUCCUGUCCUCGUCAUAUAUAAGGACGAUAAGAGACCCUCCGGGAUCCCCGACCGUUUCUCCGGCUCCAGCUCCGGGACCACAGCCACGCUGACCAUCGCCAGGGCCCAGGCUGAGGACGAGGCCGAUUAUUACUGUCAGGAGUAUAGUAGCAGUGCUGCUGGUGCUCACAGUGAUGCAGGGGGACGGGGAAGUGAGACAAAAACCCCUGUCCCCACGGUCCCAUCCCCCUGCUCUUCUCCCUACCAGAUGGUGUCCUGUGCCAGGCGGGGGAGGGGAACGUCGUGUUCCAGCUCCCCCAGCUUCCCCUGUGCUCCUCACCCUCCCACAUGCCACCAUCACCCCCAGAACGGUCUCGGUCUCAGUCCCACUGGCCCUUACCUCCUACCUUUGGCGGUCCUGCUCUCUGUGGCCCCGGGCAAUCCGCAACCGCUCACUCCUCUUGGGCCUCAAUUCAUGUCCAGGCCCCUCUGAGGAAGCAGAUGCCGCAAUCGCUAUCAUCAUCAUCCCCGCCGCCAUCGUCGUCGCCUUCAUCAUCAUUUUCCCCAUCUCCACCAUCAGCUUCCAGGACGCAUUGCGUGCCGGGCACUGUACUGGGGAUUUUGGGAACCCAAAAUUGAAGAUAGGGAAUCUGUACUCCAAUCAAUCAGUCAAUCAAUCAUAUAUAUUAAGAGCUUACUAUGUGCAGAACACUCUACUCAGAACUUGGGGAGUACAAUUCGCCCCAUCCUCAAAUCCUCAGUACUUCUGUACGUAUCUUGAGGUUAAAUAUAGUAAAUUAUGAAUGUAUUUAUGUUAAUAUCUGUCUCCCCCUCUAAACUGCAAACUAGUUGGGGAACGUCUCCUAAUCUGUUGUAUUUUCUCCAGUGCUUAUACAAUGCCGUGCACAUAGUAAACAAUAAAUACCACU
Non-coding RNA from Ornithorhynchus anatinus (platypus), 1093 nucleotides. Lineage: Eukaryota; Metazoa; Chordata; Mammalia; Monotremata; Ornithorhynchidae. The record is from the annotation of a RefSeq genome assembly.